CCUUCCUCUGCAGGGAAAGAAAAGUAAUUUAAAUAUAAAUCAUUUAUUUAUCCCUGGUAUUUUUACAGCUUAUUUCAAAUGAAGUCUGUGGACCAGCAAAUCAAACUUAAACAGGCGCGGGCUUCCAGACUGGCCUUGAGACAAGUGUGGAAUUUUUAAGGAAGACAGAAGACUCUUGUGCUCUCUCACACCUGUGAAACAGCAGGGCCUCCAUCUGUUACAUCAUUUGAAACUUAAAAACAAAUUGAGUUGCUGGAAGCAAUGUGCAGGUUUUGGGACUAUUUCUGAAAGAUGCAUUCGGCUUAAAUUCAAGGGCAAACUACUGUUUUCCUGUUGAAUGCCUUGUACACAGAUUAUUACAGACUAGCAUUAUAUUUUUAAAUGAAAUGCUUCUUUCUUUGCCAACUAUGGAUUCAAACAGAUUUUAUUUUGAAACUCUAAAAUAAACAAACCUCAAUGAUAGCGUGAGAUUUCACAAAUGUUAAUUUAGACCAGAGUACAGCAUAUGUAUAAAGUAACUAUUUAUAUUCUGUGUCAAAGCAUACAGAUUGCAGAGAGAUGAUUAAGGUGUGACAAGAGCUUCCAGAUACAGUUAAAUGAACUUAAGAGAACUUUCUAUAUGUUGCUUAUUUAACUGCUAAAAAACAGUGGUAUGUAUUCCAUACUUCACACUGCUUCUAGCCACUGUAAGGAGGAAUGAAUUCAGAACACAGUUUAUGAUAUUAAUUUACUUCUGGAUGAGACAGAACAGCAAUAAAAGAGCUUUUGGCCUGACAGGUAGAGAGCUUAUCCCGUUCUGACCUGCUUCUCCUGGGAACAAAGAUUAUACUCUGCUGCAGCUUCAAUCAUUUACUGAAAAUAAAGCCAAUUCCUAUUGUAACAAACAAAAAUUCUACUUCUUAGAGGAAACAAAAAACCAUGACCACUGAGAAGUGCAAAAGAAGACAGGUAAGUUCAGUAUGAGGCUUCAGAUAAAGAGCCUUUGUUCCUUAUACAGAAAAAACCUUACAAGUACCAUUGUUUGUUUCCAUAUAUUUUCAAAGUUGUGACUCACUUCAUUAGAUUCUCCAGAGACUGCUCCUUCACUUUAAUAUCUGUAGAACAAAACAGUAUAUGAAACAGGUUCCUUACAAAAUUCCUGGUUAGUUUUCUAUAUAGCUGUGCAGAUUAGUUUAGGAUAUUCUAUAAACUUUAUAGCAACAUACUAGAUCUUAAAGGGAAGUGGAAUACGGAUUACAUUUUGUUUCGUAGGUUAAUUAUAAAGAAAUUAAUGUGAUUUUGUGCAUGUGAUUUUGCUCAAAGACAACGUAUCACAAAAUUCGGAGCAGGUAAGAUCAAUAAAAAAUAUUGCUAAGUAUUAAAAACGGUAGGCAUAUUUCCCACAGGAUAACUAAAUGCUUGUGUGCUUAGGCACAACCAAGGUAUUGUGACUACUUUGAAAUGAUAAAUAUGUUGUGGUUGCAGAAGGUGAAACCAAAUGACUGAUGGACAGUGAUUACAUCACCUCCAUGCAGGAACUGAACUUUCGUUAGCACUUCCUCACUGUCCCAACCAAAAUUUAGAACAAUCUUUCUCUUAUGGGAAAAAGGAGGAUUUGGGCAAAGAAAAAGGGCCAGACUUCAUCUCAUGCCUGUUGGGACGUUGGAAGAUGGUAGCUAAGGAACUGGGACUGCUGCUGCUUACCAAGUAAGCACAGUGUGUGCAUUCCAUUCUGCCUGUUCUUCUUGAUCUUGUCAAAAAAGCUUUCUGGCUUCCAUGUAUCUGUCCAGAAAACUAUAGAAACUGUCUCUCCAAAAUUGUACAACUGUAAAACAAAACAAAUCCAACACACAUACACAAUCAAAGUACCAGUACAGUGCACACACAAAAAAAUGUAUUAAAAUAACAGACAACUGGGAAACUCUUGAGAAGUCCUGAGCACAGCCGAGAAGGUUUUGCUUUUUUAACAAACUGUCUUUUCUUCUCAUUUACAGAGGGGCAUUGUUCUUUUACUCUCUGACAGUAAGGCAAAUUAAAGAGUGACUAAUGAACUACUGUAAAAUUUUUACCUACAUUUGCAUUCUCCUUUCCAACGUUCAGUAACUUCCUAUCUACCUUCUGUUUGUUGUUUUUUUUUUUUUAACUUAUUUCUGAAGUCUGUUAAAGGCAAAACUUAAUAAGAUUGGCACCAAAACUUUUAAUUACCAUUUUUUAUUUUAAUAUAAUAUAUAUUAGCUAGUCAACUUCAUGCAAACCAACAGCACUUGCAAUGUUUUCCCAAGCUUUGAUUCAAAUGAUAGAGCAGGAUUUAUAUUUAAGCAGCACUUUCCUGCAGAUGGGAGCUGUACCAUGCAAAUGCUGCUACUGUCUGAACAAUAACAGAUACGAAGAUCUGAAGACAGGGACAGAUUGUGCCUGAAUCAGAGAGGUGACACAUUUUUUAAUGCACAUAUGGUAAGAAGAAAGUGCUGACAGAUUCUGUGUCAAACACAUUCACUGCCUUUAUUUGCCAUCUUGCUGCUAUUUAUUACUGUAAAUCCCUAAUCGUGGUGAAGACAUUUGAAGCAAUACUGCCAAUCGUUUCCAGUGAUGCAAAAGUGAACAUUAGAUGUAACCUAAGGCAGAAUUUCGCUUGGAAGUGUUUGUAACAAGCUUGAAAAUGGGCAAAAACACACAUCAAUUUUGGUUAGUUUGGCUCAGGAAUGAGGCCAACCAAAAUGGAUUUUGCAGCAUGCCAACAUUCUGUCUGCUCAAGCCUACCAGAAAAACAGUGGUUUUACAUAGACUGUCCUCUCCUCUUUCUAUUUAAACCUGCAAGAAGGGAUAACUUUUCCUAGCCCACUACAGGAGGCACGGGGUGUGCUGUGCUGUUAGCAGAGAAAGGGAGCCCUCCGGCAGCACCCUGACACCCGGGGAUUCCCCUAUACCCAUUUAUUUUACUGUGGUGUGAGGUUCUGGUUUUAACGCUUGAAUGCAGGCAGAGCAGAAUUUGAAUCAAAGCAGUAAGUUGUUGUUUUCAAGGGACUGAGAGCUCAAAUUUUAACCAUUCACGCUGAUUAGGCACAGCCUUUAUUCAAAGAUUCCUGGAACAUUACUGAAAAUGUUUCCUCUUUUAAAUAUUUCAUUCUAGAACAAAGAUAAGAACACACAGUGUACAUUUCACAACCUAAAGGUUCUUCCAGUAAACUAAAUAUAGGUUGAACCAAAUGAAUUUCUCCUGAUGUAACAACUUAACUAUUUCAGGACUGUACUCUAGGGAAAGAUAAAAAGAAAAGAGAGUGAGCAAGCUGCUUUUGCCUCUUUUUCACAUGGCUGGAGUUCUGUCUGUUUUCUACCAAAACUGAAGCAAAACUGCUGGAAUUUCACUGCAGGAGCAGCUGGGACAAAGAUAGCUUUUAAUCUCAUGAUUGAGGCAGCACCUUCAGCCAUCACAAGUUGCUGAAACGUGCAGUAGCCACCUGAGAAACUAGCCAGCCUGCUGCCUGCCAUCUGAAAGCCACCACAGUCUUUUCCCAAAAAGCAACAGCUUUUCUUUAGCAAAUAAAACAGCCUUUAUUGGCUGUAAUACCCUGAAGGACAGGAACUUCCACCACUGCCCUGUAGCAAUAGGAUGUGCAGAAAUGGGCAUAAUGUUGUUGUCUGGCAUUUUAUUGGGAGUCUUUCUAACUACUCUGCUCCAUAUUAGAACCAAGUUGGAUAUAAACUUGACUAACAGGAUAGAAUGGGGCAUAUGUUAUUAACACAGAAUUGCCUUCACAACUUACAUGCUUGUAUUAAAUAAGCUUUUAAAUAAUGUAUUGCCUAGCUGAAAACUUUCAGAUACACAAUCUAUCAAUAAUGUAAAACUGAAGCAAUAAGUAGAUACUCCUAUUAUA
Long non-coding RNA from Tympanuchus pallidicinctus (lesser prairie-chicken), 3854 nucleotides. RefSeq lists it as uncharacterized. NCBI's taxonomy places the organism in Eukaryota, Metazoa, Chordata, Aves, Galliformes, Phasianidae. The transcript has 2 exons. The record is from RefSeq and is a predicted model, not a curated record.